CAGUCGUACCGGCGGAUAAUCAGCCUUUCGGGUGCGAUUCUGUGGGGCGUGAGGAGCUUAACCGCCUUCAUGUUUUGCAUAUUCGUGCACAUUUGGUGUACUUGUCCGUGUGGUGGGUUAACAUCAAUUUCGGUCGUCAUAAAAUGGCUGGAGGAAUGUAGCUUCGGUCUCGUAUUGAAGUGUUAUAGCCUUUGGUAGACGUGAUGAUUGGGAUUGAGGAUUGCAACGGAUACCCUUCGGGCUACCUGUCUGGUCUCUGAUCGUUGCUCUGGUGCCGAAAGCUCGCUUACGGUUCUCAAAGUCGAUGGU
This 309-nucleotide ribosomal RNA is filed under the name Glomus sp. (unid). Lineage: Eukaryota; Fungi; Glomeromycota; Glomeromycetes; Glomerales; Glomeraceae. The record is from RNAcentral.